UGCGAAGGUAGCAUAAUCAUUAGCCUUUUGAUUUGAGGCUGGAAUGAAUGGUUUGACGAGAGAUGGUCUGUCUCUCCGAUUAAAUUGAAGUUAAUCUUUAAGUGAAAAAGCUUAAAUGUGCUUGGAGGGCGAUAAGACCCUAUAGAUCUUUACAUUUAAUUCUUUUGUUUUGCGGUAGGUAAUUAAACAGAGUAAAAUAAUGUUCGGUUGGGGCGACGGUAAGAACAGAAUAAACACUUACAACAUAUACACAUCAAUAAAUGACCACUGAUCCUUAGAUGAAUAAAGACCAAGUUACCUUAGGGAUAACAGCGUAAUUCUUUUUGAGAGUUCAAAUCGACAAAAGAGUUUGCGACCUCGAUGUUGGUUCAGGGACCCUACUGGGUGCAGUAGCCUAGAGAGGCAGUCUGUUCGACUGUUAAACCCCUACG
RNAcentral lists this ribosomal RNA (431 nucleotides) under Artemia franciscana. Its description in RNAcentral is "partial 16S ribosomal RNA". It matches the Rfam family "Bacterial large subunit ribosomal RNA", at positions 1949 to 2600 of the family's 2925-position model. The record is from RNAcentral. Lineage: Eukaryota; Metazoa; Arthropoda; Branchiopoda; Anostraca; Artemiidae.